This is a long non-coding RNA of Lathyrus oleraceus (garden pea), 1227 nucleotides long. RefSeq lists it as uncharacterized. The transcript has 3 exons. The record is from RefSeq and is a predicted model, not a curated record. NCBI's taxonomy places the organism in Eukaryota, Viridiplantae, Streptophyta, Magnoliopsida, Fabales, Fabaceae.
AUGGAGAAAGAACGGUUGUCUGGUUCGUAUGCGUCGCGUAGAGAUGAAGAUGAAGGUGUCAUAAUCCUUUCCUCCAGAGAGGACGUGAACGAGUGUUUGUUGAAUGACGGUGAGGUUGGUUCAUAAUUCGUCCUCUUGAGGAUCGUUCCAAUGGAAGAUCAUUUUUUCAGGUUUUGUUAAGGGUUUUUUGAAGAGGUUCCAGGAGUACUGUUAUCACAGCUAAGAGAAAGGAAAAAAUGAAGGCCUUGUUUCUGUUGAAGAUUAGAGAGAAUUUGUUAUCAAUUCGGUUGGAGGUGGUUAUUCUGUUAUGAAAAGUUUGUUGGAUUACAGGUUGAAACAUGAAGAAAUUUGGCGGAGGUUCAAUCAGGUAGGGCAGUUCAUUGAAUUCUGUUAGAAUUGUUUUAGGAGGAGUUUGAUGAACCGAGUUUGUUAAAAUUCGGUUAUGCGGUUGAUUAAUUCUAUUUGACAGUUGUGUUUCCAGUUUUGGUUCUCAUUCUGUCAGUUCUUUGCAGGUCUGGCUUGUAUUUGGCUGGUGUGGCAGGAUUUUAUUUGGAUUGUUGCAGGUGGUUUGAUGCUACUGCAGUGGUCAUGUUGGACAGACUUGGAGAAAGUUGCAGACCUCAGCCAAGAGACCGGAAAUUGAUCCAAAAUUGAAUUAAGGAGCUGAGAGGUUUGGUUCCAAAGCGCAGUAUUGAUUCACUACUGGAGCACUCAAUGAAGCACAUGCUCUAAGGACGCUGACAAGCUAACAGAAUCUGUUGUUUCUAAAUCAAAGUUGCCUCACGUGGAAGCAUACAUUCACGACUCUUCAAGUUGGGAAAUGGAGGUAGGGGUCAUGAUGACAAGAUGUUAAUAUGCCUUAUCGUGGAGGUUGAAAACAACAACACAGUACACCGAUUGGACAUCUUGUGGGCGCCUGUUUAAAUAUUAAAAUCCAAGAGCAAUAUGCAACAACAAUAACUAGUUGAUUUGUAGAAACCUUGUGGCCUUUUAUUGUUAUUGAUCAAUAAAAUGAUGCUUGUUGUUUAGGAACUUUGUAACUUCCAUGGCAUAAUGCUAGCUUCACAUGAUUCGCUUAUGUUGUACUGUUGUAAUGUAGAAGGAACUCGGUUGUAAUUGGAAUGGACAUGAAUUGAAAACUGUUAUUUAUGAUUGGAAAUUAAAAAUGGAAUGUAUUGAAAAGAAUUGGUUCAAUGUAUUAUGUAUAGAAUUUGUAUGUAGUUUGGA